GCCUAAUACAUGCAAGUCGAACGAUGAAGCUUCUAGCUUGCUAGAAGUGGAUUAGUGGCGCACGGGUGAGUAAGGUAUAGUUAAUCUGCCCUACACAAGAGGACAACAGUUGGAAACGACUGCUAAUACUCUAUACUCCUGCUUAACACAAGUUGAGUAGGGAAAGUUUUUCGGUGUAGGAUGAGACUAUAUAGUAUCAGCUAGUUGGUGAGGUAAUGGCUCACCAAGGCUAUGACGCUUAACUGGUCUGAGAGGAUGAUCAGUCACACUGGAACUGAGACACGGUCCAGACUCCUACGGGAGGCAGCAGUAGGGAAUAUUGCGCAAUGGGGGAAACCCUGACGCAGCAACGCCGCGUGGAGGAUGACACUUUUCGGAGCGUAAACUCCUUUUCUUAGGGAAGAAUUCUGACGGUACCUAAGGAAUAAGCACCGGCUAACUCCGUGCCAGCAGCCGCGGUAAUACGGAGGGUGCAAGCGUUACUCGGAAUCACUGGGCGUAAAGGGCGCGUAGGCGGAUUAUCAAGUCUCUUGUGAAAUCUAAUGGCUUAACCAUUAAACUGCUUGGGAAACUGAUAGUCUAGAGUGAGGGAGAGGCAGAUGGAAUUGGUGGUGUAGGGGUAAAAUCCGUAGAUAUCACCAAGAAUACCCAUUGCGAAGGCGAUCUGCUGGAACUCAACUGACGCUAAGGCGCGAAAGCGUGGGGAGCAAACAGGAUUAGAUACCCUGGUAGUCCACGCCCUAAACGAUGUACACUAGUUGUUGGGGUGCUAGUCAUCUCAGUAAUGCAGCUAACGCAUUAAGUGUACCGCCUGGGGAGUACGGUCGCAAGAUUAAAACUCAAAGGAAUAGACGGGGACCCGCACAAGCGGUGGAGCAUGUGGUUUAAUUCGAAGAUACGCGAAGAACCUUACCUGGGCUUGAUAUCCUAAGAACCUUUUAGAGAUAAGAGGGUGCUAGCUUGCUAGAACUUAGAGACAGGUGCUGCACGGCUGUCGUCAGCUCGUGUCGUGAGAUGUUGGGUUAAGUCCCGCAACGAGCGCAACCCACGUAUUUAGUUGCUAACGGUUCGGCCGAGCACUCUAAAUAGACUGCCUUCGUAAGGAGGAAGAAGGUGUGGACGACGUCAAGUCAUCAUGGCCCUUAUGCCCAGGGCGACCNACGUGCUNNAUGGCANNNCCAUGNNACGC
RNAcentral lists this ribosomal RNA (1189 nucleotides) under Campylobacter jejuni. RNAcentral describes it as "bacterial SSU rRNA". It matches the Rfam family "Bacterial small subunit ribosomal RNA", at positions 46 to 1250 of the family's 1533-position model. Lineage: Bacteria; Pseudomonadati; Campylobacterota; Epsilonproteobacteria; Campylobacterales; Campylobacteraceae. The record is from RNAcentral.